RNAcentral lists this ribosomal RNA (253 nucleotides) under uncultured bacterium. RNAcentral's name for it is "partial 16S ribosomal RNA". It matches the Rfam family "Bacterial small subunit ribosomal RNA", at positions 524 to 776 of the family's 1533-position model. The record is from RNAcentral.
UACGGAGGGUGCAAGCGUUAUCCGGAUUCACUGGGUUUAAAGGGUGCGUAGGCGGGCAGGUAAGUCAGUGGUGAAAUCUCCGGGCUUAACCCGGAAACUGCCGUUGAUACUAUCUGUCUUGAAUAUCGUGGAGGUAAGCGGAAUAUGUCAUGUAGCGGUGAAAUGCUUAGAUAUGACAUAGAACACCGAUAGCGAAGGCAGCUUGCUACACAAUCAUUGACACUGAGGCACGAAAGCGUGGGGAUCAAACAGG